Molecule: transfer RNA, 74 nt
Filed under: Felis catus (domestic cat)
Lineage: Eukaryota; Metazoa; Chordata; Mammalia; Carnivora; Felidae
Also listed under: 2 other names
Rfam family: tRNA
About the family: Transfer RNA (tRNA) molecules are approximately 80 nucleotides in length. Their secondary structure includes four short double-helical elements and three loops (D, anti-codon, and T loops).
Source: Rfam by way of RNAcentral
ACCUGGCUAGCUCAGUCAGUACAGCAUGUGAAUCUUGAUCUCAAGAGUUGUGAGUUCAAGCCCCAUGUUGGGUG